RNAcentral lists this ribosomal RNA (292 nucleotides) under uncultured bacterium. Its description in RNAcentral is "partial 16S ribosomal RNA". It matches the Rfam family "Bacterial small subunit ribosomal RNA", at positions 775 to 1066 of the family's 1533-position model. The record is from RNAcentral.
GGAUUAGAUACCCUGGUAGUCCACGCCGUAAACGAUGUCAACUAGCCGUUGGGAGCCUUGAGCUCUUAGUGGCGCAGCUAACGCAUUAAGUUGACCGCCUGGGGAGUACGGCCGCAAGGUUAAAACUCAAAUGAAUUGACGGGGGCCCGCACAAGCGGUGGAGCAUGUGGUUUAAUUCGAAGCAACGCGAAGAACCUUACCAGGCCUUGACAUCCAAUGAACUUUCUAGAGAUAGAUUGGUGCCUUCGGGAACAUUGAGACAGGUGCUGCAUGGCUGUCGUCAGCUCGUGCC